AACGAACGCUGGCGGCAGGCCUAACACAUGCAAGUCGAGCGCGCCCUUCGGGGUGAGCGGCGGACGGGUGAGUAACGCGUGGGAACGUGCCCUUCUCUGCGGAAUAGCCUCGGGAAACUGAGAGUAAUACCGCAUACGCCCUUUGGGGGAAAGAUUUAUCGGAGAAGGAUCGGCCCGCGUUGGAUUAGGUAGUUGGUGGGGUAAUGGCCCACCAAGCCGACGAUCCAUAGCUGGUUUGAGAGGAUGAUCAGCCACACUGGGACUGAGGCACGGCCCAGACUCCUACGGGAGGCAGCAGUGGGGAAUCUUAGACAAUGGGGGCAACCCUGAUCUAGCCAUGCCGCGUGAGUGAUGAAGGCCUUAGGGUUGUAAAGCUCUUUCAGCUGGGAAGAUAAUGACGGUACCAGCAGAAGAAGCCCCGGCUAACUCCGUG
RNAcentral lists this ribosomal RNA (433 nucleotides) under uncultured bacterium. RNAcentral describes it as "partial 16S ribosomal RNA". It matches the Rfam family "Bacterial small subunit ribosomal RNA", at positions 29 to 507 of the family's 1533-position model. The record is from RNAcentral.